GACCUCCUGGGAUCGCGUCUGGAGAGUGGCCAGUGUUCUGCCAGCUUCGGAAACAGGAGGGAGAGCAACCCGGCAGGGCACCCAUUCCAUUCCCAGCUUGUCCAGUAGCUGGUGACUGGAAGACACUCUGCAACAGCC
Small nucleolar RNA from Chinchilla lanigera (long-tailed chinchilla), 138 nucleotides. The record is from Ensembl. Lineage: Eukaryota; Metazoa; Chordata; Mammalia; Rodentia; Chinchillidae.